GUCUCAGUGGCGUAGUGGUUAACGCACGAUAGCCAUUUGGGCGCGGGACGCAGGUUCGAAUCCCAUCUGAGAUG
Molecule: transfer RNA, 74 nt
Filed under: Nippostrongylus brasiliensis
Lineage: Eukaryota; Metazoa; Nematoda; Chromadorea; Rhabditida; Heligmosomidae
Rfam family: tRNA
About the family: Transfer RNA (tRNA) molecules are approximately 80 nucleotides in length.
Source: Rfam by way of RNAcentral